UACGGGGGGGGCAAGCGUUGUUCGGAAUCACUGGGCGUAAAGCGCACGUAGGCGGAUUGCUAAGUCAGGGGUGAAAUCCUGGAGCUCAACUCCAGAACUGCCUUUGAUACUGGUGAUCUUGAGUCCGGGAGAGGUGAGUGGAACUGCGAGUGUAGAGGUGAAAUUCGUAGAUAUUCGCAAGAACACCAGUGGCGAAGGCGGCUCACUGGCCCGGUACUGACGCUGAGGUGCGAAAGCGUGGGGAGCAAACAGG
Molecule: ribosomal RNA, 253 nt
Filed under: uncultured bacterium
Lineage: Bacteria
Description: partial 16S ribosomal RNA
Rfam family: Bacterial small subunit ribosomal RNA
Source: RNAcentral